GAAAAUACCCUUACUUGCUUAGCAAAUGGUCACAUCUCCUUUCUAAUUGUUAGGGUUUCAAAAAUUGAAUUUCACUCCUUUAUCCACCAAACUUUUGUGAAAAAUAUUUCUCUCUCCUUCCAUCGUUUGUAAUUCUUUCAAAAUAUCUACAUCUUCAACAAUCACUUCUCUUUCUCUACUAUGUAUCUUGCUUCGCCUUCUCAACUACACCAACGAUCAAUCUAUCAUAUCCGAGAAAAAUCACAGAGAGAUCUCCAUAUACCGGUUCUAAGAGGGAGUUUGCUAUGCAAAUAAGGAUUUCAAUUUAGCAAAGCACCCAAAGAUGCAUUAUUACUGGUUUUUGACUAAUGAUGAAAUUGAGCUCCUCAUUACAUAUCUCUAUCUUCCACUUGAGGUUGUUCCAGCUACUUUGAAGAAACAGACUAAGUCGGUUAGUAGGCAAUUCGGUGGUCCACCUGGUAAUUGCCCUAGAGGCCCACUUGACUUGAAGGAGAUAGGAGAUUUGGCGAUUACCAUGGUGGUCCAAGUCCCAGAGGACCCGGUGGCAAGUUUGGAGGAGACAAGGGUGGAGCUCCAGCUGACAGCACACCAUCUUUUGGGGUGAUAUUAUUGAAUCAUGUAUUCUUUGGAAUGUUUUGUUUCCAUUGAUUUAAAAAAUUCAUUUAUUUGCAUUAUGAUUUUAUUCCAUUGAUUUUUUAUGGUUAUGGUGCUUGGGUUAGUUUUGUUAGUAUAUCUCUACAUGUUAUAUUUGAAAACCAUAGUUUGAGUGACCAGUUUCUUUCUGCUUCAUAUUUG
This is a long non-coding RNA of Vicia villosa (hairy vetch), 795 nucleotides long. RefSeq lists it as uncharacterized. Lineage: Eukaryota; Viridiplantae; Streptophyta; Magnoliopsida; Fabales; Fabaceae. The record is from RefSeq and is a predicted model, not a curated record. The transcript has 4 exons.